This is a long non-coding RNA of Scophthalmus maximus (turbot), 1230 nucleotides long. RefSeq lists it as uncharacterized. The record is from RefSeq and is a predicted model, not a curated record. Lineage: Eukaryota; Metazoa; Chordata; Actinopteri; Pleuronectiformes; Scophthalmidae. The transcript has 2 exons.
UCCUUUAAACAACGUCCCAGCCCUGGGCAAAGUUUGCAGGUGGUCGAUUGCCUGGUCUUCACAGAGGUUAGCUCUUAGGGAGCACUGAAGUCUGAAGGUCUGAUAGACAGUCCUAUCAUCAGAGGAGACCUUAGUGCCAACAAGACCCAGAUAAUGUCAACUCUGUCCUCAGUUAAGUACAUAACACAGCAAGAGCUCUUGGAUGUGCUGCCCAGAACAAUGUACGGGGAGAAGGGAAAUGCCGCACCAGGGCCACAGCUGGGACAUACCAUGGCAGUGGGCCUGCCAUUUUGAUUAGGGGCUCUAAGUUGGAGUCUUUGCUGUAGGGUUCAGUGGACCUUGAGAAAACACCAGUGCAUCCGUCACCAUCAUCCCUCCUGGGACAAAGCUGGCUGGCCACUUCUGAAGCGCCAGUGACCCAAGGCCUGAACCCUGCUGCUCUCCAUUCCCUGCCCUACGCAGCCACUGGGAAUCUGUGACCUCAAGUUCAGCGGGAAUCACACACUUGCAUUGCAGCUUCAAAAGCAGUGGCUGGCUCUGUCAUGUUUUUAAACUGUGUUGUGCCCUCCACGCGCUCUGGGCAAAUUAACAAAACAAAAUAUUGAUAAGCACACUAUCUCUGUUUAAAAAAUAUAUUCUGUCAAAAGAGGCAAAGACAUAUCAUAGAAACAAAGAUCUGCUUUCUUUUUUUUUUAUAAACAUUUGGUCCUCUACAUCGAAAACAUUACAUGAAAAUAUGAAAACAGUUAUGAAUUUUGUAAUAGGCUUCUUACUGCAUCCAAGCCCAGAUGGUUCUUAAUUGGUUGGCAAAGGGAGCAAGAGGUCUUUUUUUGAGGCGUGAGUGUGUGAUUGUUGCUGCUGAAUUGCUGCUAUGAAAGGCUGGCUGCGUGAUGUGGAGAUGGAACAGUGUGAGAACAGGUCACACAAAGGAGCCACCAGCCUUGCACACGGGGGGAUACUGGGGGUGCAUGGAGUAUGUCUGUUGGAGGAGCAGGGAGGAGGAGGGGGGACACACGAAAGACAGCUUAAGAUGAGAAAGUGGAGACAUGUAGGAGGUGGUCAUACAUAAAGUCUACCAAGAGAGUGAGAAAGUCAUUAACUGUUUCUAUCCAGUGACAACAUGUACUUUAAUGUGAUGUUGUUUAUAUACUCAACAAUUCAUCCAACUACUUUUAACUUGAAGUUCACUGUCCUGUGAAACAACACCAAUUAAACAUAUAACUAAGCCUC